This 414-nucleotide ribosomal RNA is filed under the name uncultured bacterium. Its description in RNAcentral is "bacterial SSU rRNA". It matches the Rfam family "Bacterial small subunit ribosomal RNA", at positions 351 to 782 of the family's 1533-position model. The record is from RNAcentral.
GCAGUGGGGAAUAUUGGACAAUGGGCGCAAGCCUGAUCCAGCCAUGCCGCGUGAGUGAUGAAGGCCUUAGGGUUGUAAAGCUCUUUCAGUGGGGAAGAUAAUGACGGUACCCACAGAAGAAGCCCCGGCUAACUUCGUGCCAGCAGCCGCGGUAAUACGAAGGGGGCUAGCGUUGUUCGGAUUUACUGGGCGUAAAGCGCACGUAGGCGGAUUGGUCAGUUAGGGGUGAAAUCCUGGAGCUCAACUCCAGAACUGCCUUUAAUACUGCCAGUCUAGAGUCCGGAAGAGGUAAGUGGAACUCCUAGUGUAGAGGUGGAAUUCGUAGAUAUUAGGAAGAACACCAGUGGCGAAGGCGGCUUACUGGUCCGGUACUGACGCUGAGGUGCGAAAGCGUGGGGAGCAAACAGGAUUAGA